GCAUCGGUGGUGCAGUGGUAGAGCACGCGUCCUCACAUAGGAUGAAACGCGGGUGCGAUUCCUUCCUGAGGCA
Parelaphostrongylus tenuis is the source of this 73-nucleotide non-coding RNA. The record is from the annotation of a GenBank genome assembly. Lineage: Eukaryota; Metazoa; Nematoda; Chromadorea; Rhabditida; Metastrongylidae.